This 295-nucleotide ribosomal RNA is filed under the name Acinetobacter baumannii. Its description in RNAcentral is "partial 16S ribosomal RNA". It matches the Rfam family "Bacterial small subunit ribosomal RNA", at positions 11 to 308 of the family's 1533-position model. Lineage: Bacteria; Pseudomonadati; Pseudomonadota; Gammaproteobacteria; Moraxellales; Moraxellaceae. The record is from RNAcentral.
GUUUGAUCAUGGCUCAGAUUGAACGCUGGCGGCAGGCUUAACACAUGCAAGUCGAGCGGGGGAAGGUAGCUUGCUACUGGACCUAGCGGCGGACGGGUGAGUAAUGCUUAGGAAUCUGCCUAUUAGUGGGGGACAACAUCUCGAAAGGGAUGCUAAUACCGCAUACGUCCUACGGGAGAAAGCAGGGGAUCUUCGGACCUUGCGCUAAUAGAUGAGCCUAAGUCGGAUUAGCUAGUUGGUGGGGUAAAGGCCUACCAAGGCGACGAUCUGUAGCGGGUCUGAGAGGAUGAUCCGC